GUGCCGUUUAGUCUAAUGGUAGGACACCUGCUUGCAUAGUGUUAGGAACACCUUCGCUAUGCUGGCAGGGAGUGAGGUUCGAAUCCUCAGCGGCACA
RNAcentral lists this transfer RNA (97 nucleotides) under Bacteroidota bacterium. RNAcentral describes it as "Bacteroidetes bacterium (activated sludge metagenome) tRNA-OTHER". It matches the Rfam family "tRNA". Rfam says of the family: Transfer RNA (tRNA) molecules are approximately 80 nucleotides in length. Lineage: Bacteria; Pseudomonadati; Bacteroidota. The record is from RNAcentral.